GGCCCCUUGGUCAAGCGGCUAAGACGACGCCCUCUCACGGCGUAAACAUGGGUUCGAUUCCCGUAGGGGUCACCA
This 75-nucleotide transfer RNA is filed under the name Clostridiales bacterium. Its description in RNAcentral is "tRNA-Glu". It matches the Rfam family "tRNA". Rfam says of the family: Transfer RNA (tRNA) molecules are approximately 80 nucleotides in length. Their secondary structure includes four short double-helical elements and three loops (D, anti-codon, and T loops). Further hydrogen bonds mediate the characteristic L-shaped molecular structure. tRNAs have two regions of fundamental functional importance: the anti-codon, which is responsible for specific mRNA codon recognition, and the 3' end, to which the tRNAs corresponding amino acid is attached (by aminoacyl-tRNA synthetases). tRNAs cope with the degeneracy of the genetic code in two manners: having more than one tRNA (with a specific anti-codon) for a particular amino acid; and 'wobble' base-pairing, i.e. permitting non-standard base-pairing at the 3rd anti-codon position. The record is from RNAcentral. RNAcentral also lists the same sequence under 1 other name. Lineage: Bacteria; Bacillati; Bacillota; Clostridia; Eubacteriales.